This 468-nucleotide ribosomal RNA is filed under the name uncultured bacterium. RNAcentral's name for it is "partial 16S ribosomal RNA". It matches the Rfam family "Bacterial small subunit ribosomal RNA", at positions 28 to 507 of the family's 1533-position model. The record is from RNAcentral.
GACGAACGCUGGCGGCGUGCUUAACACAUGCAAGUCGAACGGAAAGGCCCUGCUUUUGUGGGGUGCUCGAGUGGCGAACGGGUGAGUAACACGUGAGUAACCUGCCCUUGACUUUGGGAUAACUUCAGGAAACUGGGGCUAAUACCGGAUAGGAGCUCCUGCUGCAUGGUGGGGGUUGGAAAAUUUCGGCGGUUGGGGAUAGACUCGCGGCUUAUCAGCUUGUUGGUGGGGUAGUGGCUGACCAAGGCUUUGACGGGUAGCCGGCCUGAGAGGGUGACCGGCCACAUUGGGACUGAGAUACGGCGCAGACUCCUACGGGAGGCAGCAGUGGGGAAUAUUGCACAAUGGGCGGAAGCCUGAUGCAGCAACGCCGCGUGCGGGAUGACGGCCUUCGGGUUGUAAACCGCUUUCGCCUGUGACGAAGCGUGAGUGACGGUAAUGGGUAAAGAAGCACCGGCUAACUACGUG